This 924-nucleotide long non-coding RNA is filed under the name Bos indicus x Bos taurus (hybrid cattle). RNAcentral describes it as "lncRNA (ENSBIXG00000006423.1)". Lineage: Eukaryota; Metazoa; Chordata; Mammalia; Artiodactyla; Bovidae. The record is from RNAcentral.
GGGGGUCAGGAGUGGUUUUCAAGAGUCAGACACAACUUGGCCACCAAACCACACCGAGCUUACUUGGGAAUUUAUGUCUCAGUCCUUGACGUGAGGUGGGAAAACUGUUUUCUAUACAUUCCAGAAGCCAGCAUUUCAGAAGUGCUGGAAAGACAAACAGGAGGAGGUGGAGAAAUACAGAGACUGGCUUCGGUUCUAACCACCCUCUUCAGGUAUAUCACCAAGCCCAGCCAGGCGACAUCUAGUGGUCAACCUUGGAUCACCGUGAAGUUUUUGCCUGAAUGUCUCUCACGUGGGGCUAUUUUGCCAUUGGCGGCCCUUUUGGCAUGUCCUGGGUUUGUCGCGAGAUUUGAAGUUGAGUAUAAGCACGGCCCGAAUACAUGUUUUAGUUUUCCAGCCUCUCAAAGACGUGGUGACUGCGCCAAGGCACUCUACUGUUUCUGCAUCAAACAGCAAGACACUAAUGAUUGUCUGGACAAAAUCAGAGACGGCCUUGGACUCCGUGUGAGCAAUGACCGCCGGUGCCUGUGAGCAGGACUUCCCUGGGACACCAGGGAGUCCUGCACACUACUGCUGGAUAAAGCCAUACAUUCUUCCUUCCAUUUGCACUUUUCUCCGUUAGAGAAACUCCAGCAUCCUUGCCUAAAAUACGUGCCCUCCAGCUCUGCAGUCCAGGGAUCCCAUGGGUAAGUGACGGAAGCUGACUUUCCAAGCAGAGAAAUCCCUCCCUUUUGUCAAAUGGGCUCCAUCUACAUUUCCACCCAUGUUUCUUGACUCUUCCUCUAUGCUCAGGCCAUUUUUUUAAACCCCAAAUUCUUUCCCCUCUUUUCUGCUAAGAAAUGUUUUAUACUAGGAAGACUUUCUUAACUAAGAAGGCUGCUCUUUUUAUUUUAGACUUCUUGAUUACUUGGCCAGACAGAAAUC